RNAcentral lists this long non-coding RNA (354 nucleotides) under Mytilus galloprovincialis (Mediterranean mussel). Lineage: Eukaryota; Metazoa; Mollusca; Bivalvia; Mytilida; Mytilidae. The record is from RNAcentral.
AAAAAAAAAUAAUUGUGGCGAUUAAAAUUUGUCAUUGGCGAAAGAAUUUGGCGAAAGAAAUAUAUAUAACGAUUUAUUUUCAGUCAUCUUGUUUAUUUACUUUUUUCGGGUUUCUCGGACUUUACCCGAUCAGACAAUACUCGGAAUUCACCUUGAACUCGUUAAGAUUUUGUCAGAAAAUCAAUAAUCAGCUGAUUGCAUUUAUAGCUAUCGACAUCAAAGGACUAAUUAAUAAAGGUGUUGAUUGUAUUAUAUGAAAUGAUAUGGUUAAAUGUCGUCCGUCACAUGUCACAAACAGGAUUUUGCCACUUUGCGACGCACGUGUUAAAGCAAAAUUUUGACGCUUCCUCUCGA